CAGCAGCCGCGGUAAUACGAAGGGUGCAAGCGUUAAUCGGAAUUACUGGGCGUAAGGCGUGCGUAGGCGGUGAGUUAAGUCUGCUGUGAAAUCCCCGGGCUCAAUCUGGGAAUGGCAGUGGAUACUGGCUCGCUAGAGUGUGUCAGAGGAUGGUGGAAUUCCCGGUGUAGCGGUGAAAUGCGUAGAGAUCGGGAGGAACAUCAGUGGCGAAGGCGGCCAUCUGGGACAACACUGACGCUGAGGCACGAAAGCGUGGGGAGCAAACAGGAUUAGAUACCCCAGUAGUCCCUGUCUCUUUUAC
RNAcentral lists this ribosomal RNA (301 nucleotides) under uncultured bacterium. Its description in RNAcentral is "partial 16S ribosomal RNA". It matches the Rfam family "Bacterial small subunit ribosomal RNA", at positions 509 to 807 of the family's 1533-position model. The record is from RNAcentral.